AGGAUGGCCACAGAGAAGAUUUGCAUGACCCCUGUGCAAGGAUGACACGCAAAUUCAUGAGGUGUUCCAUUUUUUU
Small nuclear RNA from Tupaia belangeri (northern tree shrew), 76 nucleotides. Lineage: Eukaryota; Metazoa; Chordata; Mammalia; Scandentia; Tupaiidae. The record is from Ensembl.